AUCAUAACCUUCAGUGUGGUUUAAUUGGAACAUGAAGAUGCUGGAGGUUUAAAUUAGAUGUUCCUACGAGAGAGGGGAUGAGACGUGGCCAUUUAGCGACCUGCUCCACCCCGGCGAGGAGAGGGGGGUACGCAGGGAGAGAGAGACAAGCACACAGAGGAGAAAGAGAACAAAGUGGAAGUGAAAUAUUACUGUCCAUCUUGACACAAAUGAGGAAGUAGCCCCAGGACUACAAAACAGGAACUCCGGGGCCCAGAGAAGAGAGAGAAGAAAACUCACAAAUAGCCGUCAAUGAAAAGCAACGUCCUCACCCACUGACUUUUCCUAAAUAUUAAUGCUGCCGCUGUCUGCUGGAGGAAGGAGAUGGUGGAGAGAAAUGUAAGGGAGACAGUUUUCAAAAGAGAAUGUAUUUAUCAACAUCGUCACCACUGAAAUGUACAUGUUUAGCACCUGGUGUACAGGACCGUGCUCCGCAGGCUAACAGAUAUUCCUGGACUCAAGUAUUAUUAAAUUUGCAAGCGUGAAAAUUUUACUCCUUGCGUUUUUGAAAUAUUUGAUAGUCAAAAGUGGAUGGAGACCAGAAAGGAAUGACAAAGAAAACAGGAUGUGAACACUUCCAGGGAGAUGGGGUGACCCAUGCAGGAGCUUGUUUACAGGCAAAGAUUCAGUGACUCACAAUAGCACAUGGAGGAAACGAGAGUCAAAGAGCAAUGGUAAUUUAAUCAAAGGGUUCAUUUCCUCUCCAUGCCAUCGUUUGCCAAUGCUACAGAACCUAUAAUAAUUUCUCCUUCAGUGGAGAACAUAUGUUUUGCUUGUGACCACUUCACGUAUGCAUGGGUUCACAAAUCCACACAUAUAACAGACUAAUAAAUGCUGCUAAUUAUAUUUCCUACCCAAAGGGCUGCUAACCAUGCAAAUGAGAAGUGGUAAUCCUGUACCGCAGAACUUGAAACAGCAGCCAAACAGCCAGCCUAAACACGCAGCUUAUGAAGGAUUCAGCAUGUGUACUUCGCAAGGAUGGUGAAACUGAUGUUUUCAGGAUCUCUAAUUUACCAUUUAGAGUGCAGAGGUACAUCAGAAAUUACUUUGGAGGAUAUGUGGCAUCUCCCAGGUAGGAAAGGACCUAUCCACGGUAACUAGAUUUUUCUGCCGAACAUCAAAAGGAGGUGGUCGUAAAAAGUGCCCACCAAGUUAUUUCAUAGAACCAAAUUUUAUGCAAAGCAUGCCUGAUAGUCAAAGGACAAACAAAUGCUCACUGGCAUUCUGAACUGAGAGCUUCUGUCUUACACAGAUAUGCUGUGUCACACAGGAAGGCACUUAAAACCCCCACGGCCUCACAAGUAAAGUAUUUUGCCAAACCUCAGGAGGCACGACAUCGGUAGAUCCUUUGAAAAUGCAAACCCAUUAUUGCUACAUGAAUGACAGCUCAUAAGGAGCCUUCAGAGUGCAGGAAAAGCUGGAGCUCACCUUUUCUUCAAUAGGGCAUUUCUCUUUGAGCCAGUGAUUCAGGACUUCAUCUUUAAACGCGCCCGUGUUGCCCACGGUGCUUUGCUGAAUUUUGGCAAUUGUCGUGGCCUCUUUCACGAUCUCGAUCAUUCCUAUGAGAAGAUACACAGAGGCUGAUGGACACUGGGGCCUGGGGCCUGACCCAGAGGAGGAAUGGCUGGGUCUCUGUUGACAGGAGGGCAGAGGGCUUUUCAACCAGGCGGCUAUUUCCCUGGUUUGGUUUUCUUAGGAGAGAGAGAAAGAAAAGGAGGAGGAUGCAGAAGUUUUGUGGGACAUGCUUUCAGUCCCUGAAUGAAAAGAGGAAAGGUUGGCUUUCAAAGGCAAUAAGUAAAAGCACUUAUGUGCUGAGCAUAUGUGCUUGGCAAACGGUGCCUUUUCCUUUUUUAAUCACAGGGUCAAAUGGAAGUGGUUUUGUACAGUUCUCAGAUUGGAAACUUGAAUAAAAAUAUGUCUGCUUGAAACAAAAAUGUUAAAUGUCUGUAAAAGCACCUAAGAGUAGAGUAUGUAAUAGUUUCAAUAAUGUGAAUUCUAAGAUAUUGAAAUAAGUGACAGAUCUUUGCGUCUAUUUUUAAACGUUAUUUGUGAGAGAGAGGUUUUAUGUGCAGUGAAACGAGUUACAGUUUAGAGGUGGAGAAGUAAAGAGGAGGGAACAAGUUCUUAUGAAAAUCAUUUCCAUGUAUAGUCACAGGGAUUUAAAUCACACAUUCAUGUAUUUUCAACAGAUCCAUAUUAAAUCAAGAGUCACAUUCACCAACCUUGGAACAUUUUCUUCCUUUUCUAUUUGGAUUACGAUUGUAAUUUUUCACUUAUUAAAUGCCUACGCUAAAGGA
Long non-coding RNA from Leopardus geoffroyi (Geoffroy's cat), 2336 nucleotides. RefSeq lists it as uncharacterized. NCBI's taxonomy places the organism in Eukaryota, Metazoa, Chordata, Mammalia, Carnivora, Felidae. The transcript has 5 exons. The record is from RefSeq and is a predicted model, not a curated record.